CUUCCUUCCGGAGACCGUGCGUGCUCUUAGCUGAGUGGGCACGGGAGACGGAUCGUUUACUUUGAAAAAAUCAGAGUGUUUCAAGCAGGCAGCUCGCUCUUGCAUGGAUUAGCAUGGGAUAAUGAAAUAGGACUCUGGUGCUAUUUUGUUGGUUUCGAACACCGGAGUAAUGAUCAACAGGGACAGUCAGGGGCACUCGUAUUCCGCCGAGAGAGGUGAAAUUCUCAGACCAGCGGAAGACGAACCACUGCGAAAGCAUUUGCCAGGGAUGUUUUCACUGAUCAAGAACGAAAGUUAGGGGAUCGAAGACGAUCAGAUACCGUCGUAGUCUUAACCAUAAACCAUGCCGACUAGGGAUUGGGGGCUGUUCAUUGUCGACUCCCUCAGCACCUUUCGGGAAACUAAAGUCUUUGGGUUCCGGGGGG
This 425-nucleotide ribosomal RNA is filed under the name Calyptrosphaera sp. RCC6294. RNAcentral describes it as "SSU rRNA". It matches the Rfam family "Eukaryotic small subunit ribosomal RNA", at positions 696 to 1121 of the family's 1831-position model. The record is from RNAcentral. Lineage: Eukaryota; Haptophyta; Coccosphaerales; Calyptrosphaeraceae.